AUUGAACGCUGGCGGCAUGCCUUACACAUGCAAGUCGAACGGCAGCACGGGUGCUUGCACCUGGUGGCGAGUGGCGAACGGGUGAGUAAUACAUCGGAACGUGCCCAGUCGUGGGGGAUAACGUAGCGAAAGUUACGCUAAUACCGCAUACGAUCAAAUGCUGAAAGCGGGGGACCGGAAGGCCUCGCGCGAUUGGAGAGGCAGAUGUCAGAUUAGGUAGUUGGUGAGGUAAAGGCUAACCAAGCCGACGAUCUGUAGCUGGUCUGAGAGGACGACCAGCCACACUGGGACUGAGACACGGCCCAGACUCCUACGGGAGGCAGCAGUGGGGAAUUUUGGACAAUGGACGCAAGUCUGAUCCAGCCAUUCCGCGUGCAGGACGAAGGCCUUCGGGUUGUAAACUGCUUUUGUACGGAACGAAAAAGCUCUUACUAAUACUAGGAGUCCAUGACGGUACCGUAAGAAUAAGCACCGGCUAACUACGUGCCAGCAGCCGCCGUAA
Molecule: ribosomal RNA, 502 nt
Filed under: uncultured bacterium
Lineage: Bacteria
Description: partial 16S ribosomal RNA
Rfam family: Bacterial small subunit ribosomal RNA
Source: RNAcentral